This 4282-nucleotide long non-coding RNA is filed under the name Octopus vulgaris (common octopus). The record is from RNAcentral. Lineage: Eukaryota; Metazoa; Mollusca; Cephalopoda; Octopoda; Octopodidae.
UUUAGUUUCUCAUAUACUACUGACAUGCUUUAAUAUGUUACUUCCUGUGAUUGACGUCACUUCCGUUUCUUUCUCCAGCGAGUACUCGGAUUUGUUUGAAGCUGUCAAGGUAGGUGAAUUGUUUCUGACUACACUUAUCGUUAAAGCUAUGAUAUAGUAUAAGAGGUUUAUUUUUAAAACGCAGUUACAGAAGCUUGUGACUUUUUAUAAACUGACAAAAGCCUGUUCGUUACUGGUUAUGAGAUGUUCGAAAGCAAGUGAUACUCAACAGACCACAUUUCUGUCCUUCCAUCGUUCCGUUCGCUUGUGUUGUAGAUGAAAAUAUAAAUAUAUACAUUUGUAUAUAUCAAACUGAAACUUCAGUUAGCUUAGCUAUUUCGAUGUCUACUUUGUUGUUCUUCUUUUCCGUGUUGUUUCAUUUAUGAAAAUAAUGCAAUUUAGAAGAACGUUUUAUGCUUUUGUAUUGUUGAUAUCCUCAUUUUAGACUGAUGUAACGUGACCGGGUUGCGUGCAUGGUAUGAAGGUGUAUAAAUAUUUAGAUUAUCUGAAUUACUGUUAAGGAAACCCGUUAUUGCUAAAAAAAUAAUAAUAACGAAACGAAAAGAAUGAAAUAGGAAAGGAAAGAAAAUUGACACAUUUUUUUUUUGGUAAAGAAUUUCAUUAUGUACUCGUAUAUAUUGCAUUGCUACUACUGUUGUUUACUGUCCCCGUUCAUUCAGCUAUGUACUACUAGAACAGUUAUUAGUGUUGUAUAUAUACAUACUUGCUCUGCAAACUUAUAUAGCUAUACUCGUUGAACAUUCCAUUUUUAGAACUAUAAAUUCUUCCUGCUGUUUUCCAUUUCUUCUUCUGUCCAUCCUUUUUCUGCAUACAACCGUUAGUUCAUAUUUACAGUGAAAUAACUUACGGAACAAAUUGGAAGAAGGUAUGUUACCAUUGAUGGAAUAGGGGAGAACCAACAAUUGUAUUACACAUACACAUGAUUUAUUUUUAAGCAGUCAUUAGUUGUCUCUUAGUUUUUAUUUUAUUUGAUAUUUUUAUGCAGACACUUCUGUUAGAUCAAUUUUAUAAGUAGAUCAGUUUGUUGCUGAGCAUGUUUGCUAGUGCUAUAGUAACGCUUUUCGGGUCCCAUGAUACUUUCAUCUUAACACUUGCGUGCAUUCGCUCUUUUUUUUUUCUAAGGAAUAUUUUACUUGUGAAAGAAUCUGUAUUUUUCUCACCCUUGCCUUUUGUGCGCAAAUGUACAACACCUAAAUUUCUGGCUAAUUUCAGAUAUAUGUAUAUAUAAAAUCUCAUUAAGUUAUAUUUUCAUUACCAACGUUGACUUAAUAUGUAUUCACAGCACCGUCCCAUGGCGAUUACAUUUCUAAUUGGAGCCUCGAAUUUUAUUUUCAGUUGAAUUUCAGAAUUUCUUUUGCUGUUUUGAUUAAGUCUUGAACUUUCUACAUUUUCAAAACGUAUCAUCCUUUACUGAUAAAUUUAUUGAUCCACAAGGUGUCUACUAACAUUUAUGCUUCAUAAUUAAUACACUGUUUCUUCAUUAACAGUCUGGUUCUUUCGUAUAAAAUGUUAUUUUCUCGAUUGCUAUGCAUGUUAUACUGUUGACAAUGUUUUUACACCCUUGAGUAAUUGUGAUUGUUAAUUAUGAAUACGACAAACCUCUGUGUAUACACUGACAAAUACAAGUAUUUUACGAGCCAGUGACAUCUACUUGGUUACUUGACUUGUUAGAAACAGAAUCUAAGUUUCAUUAAAAUUUUACCCUUACUAUCUAAAAUAUGAAGAAAAUAUAGGUUGGUGUAUUCUUAGCUAUGAUUUCUGCAAAACAAUCACAGGAUAGUUAAGGCAGGAACACCCUCGAUCAUAAGUCUGUUCUAAAAAGGUGUCCUAGGGCUAAACAACAACACAAGCGCUUUCAGUGUGUCGACUUCAUUAAGACAUUCCGUAAAGGUUUUUCUUGAAUUGAUUCUAUGUUUACUUAAUGUUAUCUCACUCUUCAUCUGCAAUGUUAUCUAAUUCGAAAAUGUAUCCUGUUUAUUUAAAGAUAUAUGCAUAUUGUGUGUGCGCACUUGACGUAUGUAUAACCUGUGUGCGUCUCUCUCUCUCUCUCUCUCUCUCUCUCUCUCUCUCUAUAUAUAUAUAUAUAUAUAUAUAUAUAUAUAUAUAUAUAUAUAUAUGUGUGUGUGUGUGUGUUUGGUGUGUGUCAAAUACGUAUUGCAAUAAUGUCUAUGAGUGCGCGCUCAUAUAUACACUUACGCAUGUUUGCAAUGCUUUCUUGAUUUGAGCUGUGACUCAUUAGAACAGAACAUUUGCAAACCAUUUACAUAGACAGAAUAUAUAAGGAUUUUUUAAAAUUUUAUAACGAUUUCAUAUUGCGAACAUAUCAACAAAAUUAUGCUAUUUACAUAAAUUCGUUUUCCUGGUAUUUCCUGUCUGUGCAAAAAAUAGGAGUUCUUUUGUCCGAGCUAAGCCUUCAUUUAGCAGAUCUCUAAUCGAAGGCAUUAUAAUUGUCUCUAGGACCAAAGUGUGUGAAUGUUUCUUUAAUUUAAGUUAUAGAGUGUGAUCUGAAGGAGAAUUUGCUGCUAUUUCUCGUAACACGAACGACUAUGUGGAAGCUGUUUAACCUCAGGUCAGCCAUGAUCGAGCAGACAAAUGAUCAGCAAUAUUAUGGUGGUGGCCAUCUCUUUUUAUUUAUUUUUUUUUUACAUUUUCAAGACAGUAAGGUGUGAUUUUAGGAAAAUUUACCUGUUAUUUCUAACAAGUGAAGCAUCUUUGCAGAACCUCUCCCCCUCCCCCAUUGAUUAGCUGAUGUUCGAUAUUUUUGUAUCAUGAGUAAAUAUAAAGAGCCACAACUAUACGGCUUAACGUGAAUGAUGUGUUUAUACGGUGCCAAAUUGUGGUUGCUCACCUGACCAAACAGAUUUAGGAGUAAAGGCAUUCCAACCACUACCGUCUGCACUUUUUGGUAGCAUCUAGGAUUUCUUUAUCUUUUAUGGCUUUCCAUUGUCUAAGAUAGUAGAGUUUGAUAGAAAUUUAGUUGCUUUUUCUAGCAUAGAGAGCUCUGGUUUACGAUACCAAGUGAUAUAUUGUAGAACCACUGUUUAUAAAUAAUAUCAAAUCUUUACUGGAGCUAUUAUGCAUGUGGGAGAUUUGGAGAAAGUUUGUUUGAAACACACACCUGUUGUUAUUUUAUAUUGUUGACCAUUUCUUGAGUUUCUUUUAGAAUUAUUUUAUUAGAAUCGUAUUUUUCUUAAUUUAUUUUUUUAUUUAGUAAAUCAACCUUAUUCCUUGAAGGUACUAUUUAAAUGCCUUAUUAAUAGCAAGCAUUUUACUGAAAUAAAUUACAUACGCCUGAUAUUUUAAAUUGUCUAUUUCGUAUAUAAUACUUUUUUUUUGUCUUUUACAUUGUAUCUGAUGGCGGGUAGUCUAAUUUACCCUUGUAAUAAUAUUUGCGAUAGUUAGUCUGCCUUUUUUGCUGGAUUUUGUUCUCCAUUCGUAUAGAUUUCGAAAAUCUAACAACUUCCAGGAAUUUGAAGAACGGUUAUUUUUCUAUUUGUUUACGUGGUUCUUUAUGCGCACAAACAUUGUCGCAUGAAAGGCAUUAUAUUCCAUAUACACAGGUGGUGUGUGUGUCUGUAUGGUAUAUAUAUAUAUAUAUAUAUAUAUAUAUAUAUAUAUCAUACAGACACACACACAUCUUCAGUUUGGUUCAGGAAAACACCAGCCAACAUGUUUUGAUAUUGUUAUUCAUAACUACCAUUUGCAUUGUAGUAUUUUGGGAAGAAUUUAGAGUGAAGUUGUGCAUAGCUCUAACAUGGCAGUUACAAAUAACCACCAAACGAUGUUUGUAAAGUAGGAGUAAUUAUUGACUUUGUACUUCGUUGAGGUCUCUUAAGGUAAACUGAAGGAAGCUAGUUGAGAAUUGUGGUUUUUAUCUGUAGCAGGUGAUGAGCUGAAACCUGACUGAGAUAGGAUUAAAAAAAAAAAGAAAAACGCCAUGGUAAGAAUUGAGAUCACUUAACAAGUGUCAACACCCUUGAGACAAGUUUGAUUUACUUUAGUGAAAGUGAAGGAGUGUAUGAAUGGAGUAUUCUAAAAAAAUUUCAAAUAGCUGAAGUUUCAUUCUUUUUUGAAGGAAAAUAAAAACCUAGCGGCUAUUGUUAAUCACAAUUGAAGAAAAACAAUUUCGAGACAAAGUAAUUUCACUAAAUUGAUUUGAAUGCUUUGAGGGAAAUCUGAUUUUUGUUUGCAAGCAGUGGGAUAGCCUUAAACAUAUGUGGAG